GACCUCGGAUCAGGUAGGAAUACCCGCUGAACUUAAGC
This 38-nucleotide ribosomal RNA is filed under the name Sarocladium strictum. RNAcentral describes it as "partial large subunit ribosomal RNA". The record is from RNAcentral. Lineage: Eukaryota; Fungi; Ascomycota; Sordariomycetes; Hypocreales; Sarocladiaceae.